This 807-nucleotide long non-coding RNA is filed under the name Ananas comosus (pineapple). RNAcentral's name for it is "long non-coding RNA (ACOM_LNC009218)". The record is from RNAcentral. Lineage: Eukaryota; Viridiplantae; Streptophyta; Magnoliopsida; Poales; Bromeliaceae.
CUGUUGCUAUAUGGUGUGUCGAUAUUGGCAGAUCUUAAUUUAACUCGAUCCACAUAAGAUGUGGAUUGAGAUUUAUUCUAAUAUGUUAAGUAUAAGAAAUAAAUUAUACGUCUCUUAUUAGUUAAGAAAUGUAUCUUUCGGUGGAUAUUUAUUAUGGAUAUCAUAAUCCUAAUUUAAUGUGAGAUUCAUGAUAUUUUAGAGGGCUCCGUUAUUCGGUGGAUAUUUAUUAUGGAUAUCAUAAUCCUAAUUUAAUGUGAGAUUCAUGAUAUUUUAGGGGGUUCCGUUAUUUUAUAAAUACGUUCCUUUUUUCUCCCGUAUUAUCAUACGAUCUAAUUUGAUUUAAGAGAAUCUACGAUCUAUCUUCCUUCUUUUCUCUCUUCUUUUCCUCUGGAAUUUCCAUCUACGUUCCCGGGAUUUCAAUUCGUAUCUCGAAAAUCUUUUGUUAAAACAAGCAAUCCGAUCCGUGACGCGAGGUGUUGGCAUGAGAGAAGGCGAAGUACGUGGGAGAUCUAGAAGCAUUGAGACCAGGAUGAUUCAGGCAGGCUAGUAAAACAAGCAAUUCGAUCCAAUUGCGGUUUCUGGAUACGUUGACUAUCUAGUUUGUAAGUUUCCGCUGCCCUCGAAUUUCCAACAAUUGGUAUCAGAGCCAUAUACUUGUUUUCGACUUAUGAUCAUGCCUGAUGCGUGUUUUUUGGAUCGCUUUUUUGUUGGUCAAUUUUUAUGUAGAUUUGUUCUACAAUUUUUCUCAUUUUUUAUGUGAAAUCGAUUAAAAAGAAAGAAAAGAAAAAGUAAAUUAGUUUUAGUUUU